Long non-coding RNA from Carassius gibelio (silver crucian carp), 467 nucleotides. RefSeq lists it as uncharacterized. The transcript is spliced from 3 exons. The record is from RefSeq and is a predicted model, not a curated record. NCBI's taxonomy places the organism in Eukaryota, Metazoa, Chordata, Actinopteri, Cypriniformes, Cyprinidae.
AUCCUACGCUUUUUUGCGUCUUCAGCCAUGUUUACACGGCAGCCUAUGGCUUAGCUCGCUAGUUUUAUGUCGACAUUAACGGAAAUAAGCGAAAAAAGCAAGUUGUUUACAAAUAAAAUAUCCAUAAUUCCAUUCCAAAGAUAACAUCUAAUCUACGAGUAUUCAGACGGGAAAUACAUGCUUCCACUUGCUGCUGUCCUGAAUGAAGGUCAAACUUGCUGCCUAAGUUCUUCCAUGAUCAGAGUCUGGGCCGCUGGAGGAUGAAGUUACGAGCCGAUAUAUCUGGAAGCAGUGGCGCAGACCUCGGAAUGGACCCGUGGAACAGUUAAAGAUAUUUCUAAUGACCCAGAGAGGACUUUCUAUAAAACCAGACUAUAAAACAACAGACUAAUGAAAAGGGGGCAAAAGCAUGCAGUUCGUCACCCCUGGCUUUUCGUCCAGUUGCGCAAAGGCUUCAUUUCACAAAU